RNAcentral lists this ribosomal RNA (108 nucleotides) under Rhodocyclaceae bacterium. The record is from RNAcentral. Lineage: Bacteria; Pseudomonadati; Pseudomonadota; Betaproteobacteria; Rhodocyclales; Rhodocyclaceae.
GACCAUAGCGAGCCGGCCCCACCCCUUCCCAUCCCGAACAGGACCGUGAAACAGCUCCGCGCCCAUGAUAGUGCGCACUCCGCGUGCGAAAGUAGGUCAUCGUCAGAC